CGACGAUAGCCCAGUUUUAAGUUUAGGGGCAGCAACAUUGUGCAUUUGAGCUUCUCAGGAUAAGUCACCAAUGGCAGCUGGGUUAGCUUUAUCCAUAGCCGUAACUCCAAAAUUGAGGUUAAUUUCCCACCAAAAUCAAUCUUCUGCACAAAAGGAUAAAUAUCAAGUAACUGGUAGCUGGAUGAAAACAGCUAUCUUCAGCUACCUAGAAGAUGAACUACAUUAAAGAAGCUGCUUGUGGUAUCUUUGGUUCUUCUUCAUGGUGGGUAUGCCAAUCAACAUUGCUGACAUUCUUCCAUCUGCAGCAUUCUCAUGAUAUUUUCUUGAAGUUGAAACUGUUUUCAAUUUGCUUUUACAAAGAU
Molecule: long non-coding RNA, 362 nt
Filed under: Solanum lycopersicum (tomato)
Lineage: Eukaryota; Viridiplantae; Streptophyta; Magnoliopsida; Solanales; Solanaceae
Description: partial TCONS_00091532
Source: RNAcentral